Phyllostomus hastatus (greater spear-nosed bat) is the source of this 1470-nucleotide long non-coding RNA. RefSeq lists it as uncharacterized. The record is from RefSeq and is a predicted model, not a curated record. NCBI's taxonomy places the organism in Eukaryota, Metazoa, Chordata, Mammalia, Chiroptera, Phyllostomidae. The transcript has 2 exons.
UUUUGAGCAAGACAGAUUGGACGGGCGGGGCCGGGAUUGGUAUUCGUCCAGACGGUUUGCUGCGGCAGCUACUGCUGCUGCAAAGGCCGUUGCAGGCGCGGCCACCUCUGCCCGCCUGGCUGGAGAGCGCGGGCGAACUGAGCUCCGCGCACCGCUGCCUGGAAUGUCCGACUCGUCUCUGCGGUGCUGUGAGUUUCUGAGAGGCUGCUGGCGGUCUCUGGGCAUUCUUUCUGGUGACCGCAACAACGUGCAACUGUGGAUGCUGCUGUGGGGUCAGGGAGGCUUCCUGGAGGAGGAGUAUCUGGACAAGGGAGAAGGAAAGGACCAGCAAGAGGGGGCCACAGGAAAGAAGGAAACAGAAGAGCUGGGGCCUUGUUGGGGCUGAAGUGUUCCCAGUUGCAACAAUGAUGUCACAAUCCCAUAGAAGCACCUUUGUUUCUUCAGUGUUUGCCGUGUUCACACCAGCCUGCCUCUGCCGGCCUCUCCCACACACCCCACCUCGCUCUCCCAGAGCCCAGACCAUGCCACUUGCUCACUAGCUUCUCACAGGAAGGCCAGGGCGUGGAUGUGAUGCCGACAGGCAGUCAGUGAACAGAGAGUGGGGUUGCGGCAGCACCACGGGGGUCGAAUGCGGGCUACCUUCUGCCCUGUCACCUUGGGCAGGUUACCUUCCUGCACCAGGCCUUGAUUUUCUCAUCAGUGAAAGGAAAGGGCUAGAGAAAUUAUUUCAUUAUUUCUCUAACGGUAUCCUUUGUGCCCCAAGUCCCCUAGUAUUUGUUGAACUAAGUGAACCAAAUAACUUCUAUUGAACUAAGACUCAGGUCUCUAUCUCUGACUUGAAUUGAAAAUGCAAAUAACAGGCGAUAAGGAGGAGCUGUGAAGCUUGAAUGGGUUUAUCAGAUUUCCUCUUUCCAGUGACCCAGAUACAGGCCUGGGGUGGGUGGGGCAGGUGCUGAGAGCUGGCAACUUCCCUGCUCAGAACCUGUCAGCCUCAAACACUCAAGGACGAGCUACCAUCUACCUGCACGGAGCUGGGGACCCCCAGGGAUGUCAGAGAUGAACCAGAGCACGUUCCAGAGGCCGGGGUGUCAUCCUGGCCUCGAGUUCUGAAAGCUCUCAGAUUUAAAGAGGCUAAACCCACGUUACAUUGUAUUUUAGGGCUGGUACUGGUGGGGCAAUGGGCGGCGUUAGAAAGAACGUUGUGACUACAGCACGGAGUUAGCAGUGCUAAGAGAGACCGAGCCAGCAGGGAGGGGCUGCUGUAGUAACGUGGGCAAGGGGUGGAGGGAGAGAGCGUGCUUGAGAAGGCCCCGGGUCAGAUUUGACUUGGACUUCAGGUGCAGGUGUGGUAGGGCAUGUGGAGGGUGGGAGAGGGAAAGAACAGAGGGGCUCUGGGAGUAAAUUGACAGUGACUCCCAGAGGGACCUGGUGUGCAGGCCCCAAAUGUCAGUAAAUUUCCCUGCCAGCCAA